RNAcentral lists this non-coding RNA (75 nucleotides) under Marinobacter segnicrescens. RNAcentral describes it as "GEMM cis-regulatory element". It matches the Rfam family "c-di-GMP-I riboswitch aptamer". Rfam says of the family: GEMM was predicted in a large-scale screen for bacterial structured RNA regulatory elements. Genes associated with GEMM are involved in a diverse array of functions, including chemotaxis regulation, signal transduction, secretion and chitin. The record is from RNAcentral. Lineage: Bacteria; Pseudomonadati; Pseudomonadota; Gammaproteobacteria; Pseudomonadales; Marinobacteraceae.
GGUCACGCUGGCCAAACCAUUCGCGAGGAUGGGACGGAAAGCCACGGAUCUCUCGGAGACCGCCGGGCUGCAUGG